RNAcentral lists this transfer RNA (65 nucleotides) under Sphecodes ephippius. RNAcentral's name for it is "tRNA-Leu". The record is from RNAcentral. Lineage: Eukaryota; Metazoa; Arthropoda; Insecta; Hymenoptera; Halictidae.
UUUAAUAUGGCAGAUUAGUGCAAUGAAUUUAAACUUCAUAUAUAAAAUUAUUAUUUUUAUUAAAA